AUUGAACGCUGGCGGCAGGCCUAACACAUGCAAGUCGAACGGUAACAGGAAACAGCUUGCUGUUUCGCUGACGAGUGGCGGACGGGUGAGUAAUGUCUGGGAAACUGCCUGAUGGAGGGGGAUAACUACUGGAAACGGUAGCUAAUACCGCAUAACGUCGCAAGACCAAAGAGGGGGACCUUCGGGCCUCUUGCCAUCGGAUGUGCCCAGAUGGGAUUAGCUAGUAGGUGGGGUAACGGCUCACCUAGGCGACGAUCCCUGGCUGGUCUGAGAGGAUGACCAGCCAAACUGGAAAUGAGACACGGUCCAGACUCCUACGGGAGGCAGCAGUGGGGAAUAUUGCACAAUGGGCGCAAGCCUGAUGCAGCCAUGCCGCGUGUAUGAAGAAGGCCUUCGGGUUGUAAAGUACUUUCAGCGGGGAGGAAGGGAGUAAAGUUAAUACCUUUGCUCAUUGACGUUACCCGCAGAAGAAGCACCGGCUAACUCCGUGCCAGCAGCCGCCGUAA
RNAcentral lists this ribosomal RNA (506 nucleotides) under uncultured bacterium. RNAcentral's name for it is "partial 16S ribosomal RNA". It matches the Rfam family "Bacterial small subunit ribosomal RNA", at positions 30 to 523 of the family's 1533-position model. The record is from RNAcentral.